CACCUUUGUUGCCUCCGCCUCAUUCAAGCAAAAAACUAAUUAAUUGCGCUAUCUGUAGUUGAUCUGCCCCUAGAUUUCUUGUUGCCUCAUAGAUCCUCUAUUCCUUGAGGAGGACCAAAUCUUAGUUUUAUCUUAGACUCACUGUUGGUAAGGAUUAUCAAUGCAUCAAUUCUUUGGAAUGAUAUAUCCAUGCUCUCAAGACCACAACAUCAAUAAUGAUAAAGACAUAGUUACUACCACAUGAUCUUUCUACUAGUCAAUGGAGUAAAAACCAUCACUGCCAUUAUACAUGCGCACAUACAAUAAUAUAAUAAAUAAUACGCCACAACCCACUAACAAUCACAAUUUUAAAUUGAAAAAGCUCCUCUAUCAAAUAUGGAACUGGCACAACAGAUUCAAUAGUAGCACACUUGAAGGCAA
RNAcentral lists this long non-coding RNA (420 nucleotides) under Physcomitrium patens. RNAcentral's name for it is "long non-coding RNA (PPAT_LNC002093)". Lineage: Eukaryota; Viridiplantae; Streptophyta; Bryopsida; Funariales; Funariaceae. The record is from RNAcentral.